Molecule: ribosomal RNA, 210 nt
Filed under: uncultured bacterium
Lineage: Bacteria
Description: partial 16S ribosomal RNA
Rfam family: Bacterial small subunit ribosomal RNA
Source: RNAcentral
UACGGAGGGUGCGAGCGUUGUCCGGAAUCACUGGGCGUAAAGGGCGCGUAGGCGGUGCGAGAAGCGUGUGGUGAAAGGCCGGGGCUUAACUCCGGCUCGGCCGUGCGGACUCUCGCGCUUUGUGAGUGCUGUAGAGGCGGGCGGAAUUCCGGGUGUAGCGGUGGAUGCGUAGAGAUCCGGAGGAACACCAGCGGCGAAGGCGGACAUCCG